GCUUACGGCCAUACCACCCUGAACACGCCCGAUCCGAUCUCGGAAGCUAAGCAGGUCGGGCCUGGUUAGUACUUGGAUGGGAGACCGCCUGGGAAUACCAGGUGCUGUAAGCU
RNAcentral lists this ribosomal RNA (113 nucleotides) under Labrus bergylta (ballan wrasse). Lineage: Eukaryota; Metazoa; Chordata; Actinopteri; Labriformes; Labridae. The record is from RNAcentral.